Molecule: ribosomal RNA, 497 nt
Filed under: uncultured bacterium
Lineage: Bacteria
Description: partial 16S ribosomal RNA
Rfam family: Bacterial small subunit ribosomal RNA
Source: RNAcentral
GAUGAACGCUGGCGGCGUGCCUAAUACAUGCUAGUCGAGCGAACGGACGAGAAGCUUGCUUCUCUGAUGUUAGCGGCGGACGGGUGAGUAACACGUGGAUAACCUACCUAUAAGACUGGGAUAACUUCGGGAAACCGGAGCUAAUACCGGAUAAUAUUUUGAACCGCAUGGUUCAAAAGUGAAAGACGGUCUUGCUGUCACUUAUAGAUGGAUCCGCGCUGCAUUAGCUAGUUGGUAAGGUAACGGCUUACCAAGGCAACGAUGCAUAGCCGACCUGAGAGGGUGAUCGGCCACACUGGAACUGAGACACGGUCCAGACUCCUACGGGAGGCAGCAGUAGGGAAUCUUCCGCAAAGGGCGAAAGCCUGACGGAGCAACGCCGCGUGAGUGAUGAAGGUCUUCGGAUCGUAAAACUCUGUUAUUAGGGAAGAACAUAUGUGUAAGUAACUGUGCACAUCUUGACGGUACCUAAUCAGAAAGCCACGGCUAACUACGUG